Molecule: small RNA, 633 nt
Filed under: Pan troglodytes (chimpanzee)
Lineage: Eukaryota; Metazoa; Chordata; Mammalia; Primates; Hominidae
Description: processed transcript
Source: RNAcentral
AGAGUGAAUCCAAAAGUCUGCUUCACUGAGAUGCUACCUUGCCAGGACAAGAACCAAGAACUCUAACUGUCCCAGGAAUCUUGUGAAUUUUCACCCAUAAUGGUCUUUCACUUGUCAUUCUACUUUCUAUAUUGUUAUCAGUCCAGGAAACAGAUCAUGAAUUUGUGACUUAGUUCUGCCCUUUGGAGAACAAAAGAAAGUAGUCUUCCAUCAAAUCACCUUAAAAUGCACGGCUAAACUAUUCAGAGUUAACACUCCAGAAUUGUUAAAUUACAAGUACUAUGCUUUAACGCUUCUUUCAUCUUACUAGUAUGGCCUAUAAAAAAAAUAAUACCACUUGAUGGGUGAAGGCUUUGGCAAUAGAAAGAAGAAUAGAAUUCAGGUUUUAUGUUAUUCCUUUGUGUUCACUUCGCCUUGCUCUUGAAAGUGCAGUAUUUUUCUACAUCAUGUCAAGAAUGAUUAAAUGUAAAUAUUUUUUCAUUUUAUCAUGUAUAUCCUAUACACACAUCUCCUUCAUCAUCAUAUAUGAAGUUUAUUUUGAGAAGUCUACAUUGCUUACAUUUUAAUUGAGCCAGCAAAGAAGGCUUAAUGAUUUAUUGAACCAUAAUGUCAAUAAAAACACAACUUUUGAGG